GGGGAUGUGGCUUAGUGGUAGAGUGCUUGCCUAGCAAGCAUGAAGCCCUGGGUUCAAUUCCUCAGUACCA
This 70-nucleotide transfer RNA is filed under the name Dipodomys ordii (Ord's kangaroo rat). It matches the Rfam family "tRNA". From Rfam's summary of the family: Transfer RNA (tRNA) molecules are approximately 80 nucleotides in length. Their secondary structure includes four short double-helical elements and three loops (D, anti-codon, and T loops). Further hydrogen bonds mediate the characteristic L-shaped molecular structure. tRNAs have two regions of fundamental functional importance: the anti-codon, which is responsible for specific mRNA codon recognition, and the 3' end, to which the tRNAs corresponding amino acid is attached (by aminoacyl-tRNA synthetases). tRNAs cope with the degeneracy of the genetic code in two manners: having more than one tRNA (with a specific anti-codon) for a particular amino acid; and 'wobble' base-pairing, i.e. permitting non-standard base-pairing at the 3rd anti-codon position. Lineage: Eukaryota; Metazoa; Chordata; Mammalia; Rodentia; Heteromyidae. The record is from Rfam by way of RNAcentral.